UCCUUUUCUUUCUUUCUUUUCUUUUCUUUUCUCUUAUAUUCUUCUCCUCCCUUCUUAUUUAUUUAUUUUUAUUUUAUUUCAUUGAAAUAUAUUUAGUUAUUAUCUUAAUUAUUUAUUUAUUUCUUUAUUCAUUCAUUCAUAGAUAUAAUUAUGUAUACAUUUAUUUAUUUAUUUAUUUCUUUUUUUCUUUUUUUCUUCCUUUUUCUUCUUUUUUUUUCUUUUCUGUUUUCUUCUCUUCCUCUCCUCCCUUCUUAUUUAUUUAUUUAUUAUUUUAUUUCAUUGAGAUAUAUUUAGUUAUUAUCUUAAUUAUUUAUUUUUUUAUUCGUUCAUCGUAAAUAUAUUUAUUUAUUUAUUUAUUUAUUU
This 363-nucleotide long non-coding RNA is filed under the name Phoenix dactylifera (date palm). Its description in RNAcentral is "long non-coding RNA (PDAC_LNC016964)". The record is from RNAcentral. Lineage: Eukaryota; Viridiplantae; Streptophyta; Magnoliopsida; Arecales; Arecaceae.